Molecule: ribosomal RNA, 498 nt
Filed under: uncultured bacterium
Lineage: Bacteria
Description: bacterial SSU rRNA
Rfam family: Bacterial small subunit ribosomal RNA
Source: RNAcentral
GGGCUUAAAGCGUGCGUAGGCGGCUUGGUAGGUGAGAUGUGAAAGCCCACGGCUCAACCGUGGAAUUGCGUUUCAAACCCCCAAGCUCGAGGAAGGAUAGGGGUGAUGGGAACUUAUGGUGGAGCGGUGAAAUGCGUUGAUAUCAUAGGGAACACCGGUAGGCGAAAGCGCAUCACUGGAUCUUUUCUGACGCUGAGGCACGAAAGCUAGGGUAGCGAACGGGAUUAGAUACCCCGGUAGUCCUAGCCGUAAACGAUGAACACUGGGUUGAGGGGACUUCCACAUCCUCUCGGCCGUAGCGAAAGCGUUAAGUGUUCCGCCUGGGGAGUAUGGUCGCAAGGCUGAAACUCAAAGGAAUUGACGGGGGCCCGCACAAGCGGUGGAGUAUGUGGUUUAAUUCGAAGCAACGCGCAGAACCUUACCAACCCUUGACAUCCUGUGCUAUAUUUAGAGAUAGAUAGUUCCCUUCGGGGACGCAGUGACAGGUGCUGCAUGGCU